UACAGAGGGUGCAAGCGUUAAUCGGAAUUACUGGGCGUAAAGGGUGCGUAGGUGGCUAAGUAAGUUAGGUGUGAAAUCCCCGGGCUUAACCUGGGAAUGGCGCUUAAUACUGCAUAGCUAGAGUACUAUAGAGGGUAGUGGAAUUUCCAGUGUAGCGGUGAAAUGCGUAGAUAUUGGAAGGAACACCAGUGGCGAAAGCGACUACCUGGAGAGAUACUGACACUGAGGCACGAAAGCGUGGGGAGCAAACAGG
RNAcentral lists this ribosomal RNA (253 nucleotides) under uncultured bacterium. Its description in RNAcentral is "partial 16S ribosomal RNA". It matches the Rfam family "Bacterial small subunit ribosomal RNA", at positions 524 to 776 of the family's 1533-position model. The record is from RNAcentral.